GAUGAACGCUGGCGGCGUGCCUGAUACAUGCAAGUCGAACGGACCAGCAACCGGCGACUGGCUAAUGGCUUCGGCCUGCAGCCAAGAGCCCUGCUGGUUAGUGGCGGACGGGUGAGUAACACGUAGGUGACCUGCCCCGAAGUGGGGGACAACUACUGGAAACGGUAGCUGAUACCCCAUGUGAUCCGUCAUUCGGUUGGCGGAUUAAAGCUCCGGCGCUUCGGGAUGGGCCUGCGGCCGAUUAGCUAGUUGGUGGGGUAAUGGCCUACCAAGGCGAUGAUCGGUAGCUGGUCUGAGAGGAUGGUCAGCCACACUGGCACUGAGAUACGGGCCAGACUCCUACGGGAGGCAGCAGUAAGGGAUAUUGCGCAAUGGGGGAAACCCUGACGCAGCAACGCCGCGUGGGCGAUGAAGGUCUUCGGAUUGUAAAGCCCUUUUCUGGGGGAUGAGAAAGGACAGUACCUCAGGAAUAAGUCUCGGCUAACUACGUGCCAGCAGCCGCGGUAAAACGUAGGAGGCAAGCGUUAUCCGGAUUUAUUGGGCGUAAAGGGCGUCUAGGCGGUGUCUUAAGUUGGGCGUGAAAUCUCCCGGCUCAACUGGGAGGGGCCGUUCAAUACUGAGACACUUGAGGGCAGGGGAGGAAAGUGGAAUUCCCGGUGUAGUGGUGGAAUACUUAGAUAUCGGGAGGAACACCAGUGGCGAAGGCGGCUUUCUGGCCUGCACCUGACGCUGAAGCGCGAAAGCGUGGGUAGCGAACGGGAUUAGAUACCCCGGUAGUCCACGCCGUAAACGAUGGAUACUAGGUGUUGGUGGUAUUGACCCCAUCAGUGCCGUAGUUAACGCGUUAAGUAUCCCGCCUGGGGACUACGGCCGCAAGGCUA
Molecule: ribosomal RNA, 881 nt
Filed under: uncultured Chloroflexota bacterium
Lineage: Bacteria; Bacillati; Chloroflexota
Description: bacterial SSU rRNA
Rfam family: Bacterial small subunit ribosomal RNA
Source: RNAcentral